UAUUAUAUAUUGAUUUGCCUACUAUAAAAUACAAGAUUUAUAUUCACACCACUUUAACAUUCUGCUUUCCUCUCCCAGAUUUUAUUCCUCCUUGCAUUGGGUGGCAAGGUCACAAGUGCCUGCAGGGAGCAGACUGCAGUCUGUGUGAGUCAGCGGGACCUAGAGUCAUGACAGGGGAGUGCUGAGGACUCUGGAGAACUAAGCAACUUAAAAAUAUUCAGGUAUCUUCAAGCCAAGCUCGUCUGCGGUUUCCCUCUGCUCCAGUUUAUAACCUCUCAUACGCUACAGCAUUUGAAAAGUUGGAGGCCAACACGAAAUGGCAUAGGCAGUAACCUGCACUAAAUGCUACGUUUUCUCUACUACAUUUUUUAUCUUACUGUUGGGUGGAGGAGACAGCAAUAACCAGUGACAUCAGCCAGUGACGUAUGAGACAUCUUCUCAGUGAAGAAAGAGGAAAGUGGGACCCUCAAGCAGAAGACCAGGGCGGUGGAGGAAGAAGAACACGAAAACAUAAAGCAAGCUUGGUGCAGGAUGUGACAGAAGAGAGACCCAGAAAGAAGUCACUAGAGCCAACCUGCAACCCGGGAGAGGAGCUGACAAGAGAUAGGACUCUCCAGAAGCAAGACACACCUCUGUAUUCAAGUACCAUUUCCUAAGAGUAGGACACAGUAAAUCCCUAAGCCACGGUCUGGCUCUUACUCAGGACUGCACGCCCAGCUCAGCAUGGACCUCAGCCCUAGCACAGCAUGCCUUACUCUGAGACCUCCUCUUCCAAAGGGGAGUGGUUUUCUCUUUUUAAAUGAGUAGCUUUGCAGUGAAAGAGAAAAUAAAAGGCCAGGAGAAAUCACAAGGGAUGACAAUUAUAUCAAGAAAGGUCACCAGACACAAAGAGAAAGAGACCAAUCACCCGCUGCCCUCUGACCCGGCCGCUAUCGUGUUUAAAAUACUCUGCUCUGGAUGCUCUCUUGAAUCAGUUCGCUUAACCGCUACAACAGUUUUCAAGGAAUUUAUUUCUCACGCUUCUAGAUUCUAGAAAUACAAGAUGAAGAUGCCCGCAAUUCUGAAGUUUAAUGAGGUCUUCUCUGUGUCACCAAGAUGGUGCCUGAUUGCGGCACCCACCAGAAGGGACAAACACUGUAUCUACGUUGGUGAAAGAGACAGAAAAGAAAGGACUCUCUCCUUCAAGUCCACUGAUAAAGGCCCCGCUCCACCUCAUGACUUACUUACUGCUUAUUACUGUCAGAUUCAUUUCAACUUUAGGGGUUCAGUCAGCCCAUCCUAGACACCAAGAAGCAAAUUUCCAUUUUGGAGUCAUGGACACAAUAUAAAGAUCACAAUAAUAAUGCAAAAGAGGUAAGAAUAAUAGAAAAAGAGUAUGUGAGUGGAGGGUUUGUACACAUAAAAUGAAGGUUCUAAAUACACUCCACCCUCUAGGAACUUUGAUAUACUCUUUCCAACAAUCUGUUCCAACCUUCCUGCCUUACAACUCUUUGCUUUUUGAAAAUGCCCUAAAAUUAUCUUUCCUUCUCCUUUAAGCAUUGUCUCAUCAUUAAUAGGGAAUGAGUUUAUGUAAUACAUACUUGUAUAUAAACAACAUAGGAAAAGCCUGAAGCGUUCUACACGUCCUCUUCUAUUACUGUGUUUAUGCUGUGCCCUUUCCUAUUCUCUAAAUGAACAGGGUUUUAAAAUUUCUGUUUAUAGUUUAUCUUGCCUACCAGCUGACUGUUCAU
Cavia porcellus (domestic guinea pig) is the source of this 1730-nucleotide long non-coding RNA. RefSeq lists it as uncharacterized. NCBI's taxonomy places the organism in Eukaryota, Metazoa, Chordata, Mammalia, Rodentia, Caviidae. The transcript has 5 exons. The record is from RefSeq and is a predicted model, not a curated record.